This 77-nucleotide transfer RNA is filed under the name Clostridiales bacterium. RNAcentral describes it as "tRNA-Ile". It matches the Rfam family "tRNA". Rfam says of the family: Transfer RNA (tRNA) molecules are approximately 80 nucleotides in length. Their secondary structure includes four short double-helical elements and three loops (D, anti-codon, and T loops). RNAcentral also lists the same sequence under 1 other name. Lineage: Bacteria; Bacillati; Bacillota; Clostridia; Eubacteriales. The record is from RNAcentral.
GGGCCCUUAGCUCAGUUGGUUAGAGCAACCGGCUCAUAACCGGUCGGUCUUGGGUUCGAGUCCCUGAGGGCCCACCA